RNAcentral lists this non-coding RNA (21 nucleotides) under Rattus norvegicus (Norway rat). Lineage: Eukaryota; Metazoa; Chordata; Mammalia; Rodentia; Muridae. The record is from RNAcentral.
UUGAAGGUCAUUGGCUACAUC